Molecule: ribosomal RNA, 606 nt
Filed under: Amphicteis ninonae
Lineage: Eukaryota; Metazoa; Annelida; Polychaeta; Terebellida; Ampharetidae
Description: partial 28S ribosomal RNA
Rfam family: Eukaryotic large subunit ribosomal RNA
Source: RNAcentral
GAGGGAAAGUUGAAAAGAACUUUGAAGAGAGAGUUCAAGAGUACGUGAAACCGCCUAGAGGGAAACGGAUGGGACCGCGAGGCUCGCCUCCGGGAUUCAGUUCGCCCGGGCUAGGCUGGCUGCUGCGUGGGCACCCUCACGGGGCCGCGUGGCGGCCUGGCUCGGUCUGGGUGGGCGCACUUUCCGGGGCACACACGUCGGGACCGCUUCGUGGGCGUUCAGUAGUCUGCCGAGGACAGGUAGCCGCCCUCGGGUGGCGUUUGGCCUGGUGGACGGACAGCGUCUGUGGAUCGAGGUUUAAUACAUCCUGCCGCGGCACGGGCACCGCGUUCCCGGCGAUCGAGCGACUGGUGAGGACUGUUCGCAGUGCUCGCCGACUGCCGGCCGUCGUGGUGAGCGAGGACUGUCCCGUUACCCGCCAAUGGGUCCCCGACCUUUCACAGUGGCACCCCAUCCGACCCGUCUUGAAACACGGACCAAGGAGUCUAACAUGUAUGCGAGUCAAUGGGUCUGCAUACCCAAGGGCGUAGUGAAAGUGAACUAGGUGAGAUCCGUUGUCCUCCGGGGCGCGGCGCACCACCGGCCCGUCCCAGGUCACGUCUCUUC